UCCCUAGUACUGCGAGUGAAGCGGGAAGAAGCUCAAAUUUGGAAUCUGGCGGCGUUGGGCCGUCCGAGUUGUAAUCYAGAGAWAGCGUUUUCCGCGCUGGACCGUGUACAAGUCUCCUGGAAGGGAGCGUCAUAGAGGGUGAGAAUCCCGUCUCUGACACGGACGACCAGUGCURUGUGAUGCGCUCUCGACGAGUCGAGUUGUUUGGGAAUGCAGCUCUAAUUGGGUGGUAAAUUCCAUCUAAAGCUAAAUACAGGCGAGAGACCGAUAGCGAACAAGUACCGUGAGGGAAAGAUGAAAAGAACUUUGGAAAGAGAGUUAAACAGUACGUGAAAUUGCUGAAAGGGAAACGCUUGAUGUCAGUCGCGUCGGCCGGGGAUCAACCUUGCAUUCGCUGGGCGUACUUCCUGGUCGACGGGUCAGCAUCAGUCUUSGUCGUCACACAAGGGCGAAGGGAAUGUGGCACUCUUCGGGGUGUGUUAUAGCCUUUCGUCGGAYGUGAGGGUGAGGACUGAGGAACUCAGCACGGGCGACUUGUGCUUAGGAUGCUGGCAUAAUGGCCUUAAGCGACCCGUCUUGAMM
RNAcentral lists this ribosomal RNA (582 nucleotides) under Chalciporus sp. Its description in RNAcentral is "eukaryotic LSU rRNA". It matches the Rfam family "Eukaryotic large subunit ribosomal RNA", at positions 77 to 659 of the family's 3401-position model. The record is from RNAcentral. Lineage: Eukaryota; Fungi; Basidiomycota; Agaricomycetes; Boletales; Boletaceae.